Molecule: long non-coding RNA, 24121 nt
Filed under: Populus tremula
Lineage: Eukaryota; Viridiplantae; Streptophyta; Magnoliopsida; Malpighiales; Salicaceae
Description: long non-coding RNA (PTRE_LNC002363)
Source: RNAcentral
AGAGAUAUGGAUCAGUGCCGCGAGUUUAUAUUGUUUGUACGGAGGAUUUAAUGAUGCUUGCCUCAUUUCAGCGGUGGAUGGUUGAGCAAAAUGGGGUAAAGGAAGUGAUGGAGAUUCCUGCAGAUCAUAUGCCAGUUUUUUCCACGCCUGCAGAACUCUGCCAUUCUAUACUGGAGUUGGCCCGUAAGCAUGCUUAGAUUGCAUAUACGCCACGUAUCCUUAGCUGGUGUGCUUAUUAUGUAUGUGAUAGUUGUGCAACCCAUCUUGGCUGCAUUUGCUUCGGAUUUGUGUGAGAUUGUAGAAGGAAUCGGGUUGUUUUUAUUUUUUAUUUUUGGCUAUUAAAGAAAAAGAAAAUAGGAGAAAUAAAUGGAGAUGGAUUGAGUUUGUUAUGUGUGUUCACAGAGAAUUCAAAAGAUUUUAACUUGACCUAGCUACUUGAUAAGUGAUGAUUGGGAAUGAAAAUAAUCCUUAUCAGGUUGACGUGCCCUGUGUUUUUCCUGGAAAGUGAGAGGAGGUCUCUUAACUCUGGUGGGGAAUGGUGGUAGAACCUGGAGGCGAUGUAGCUGUGACCAAGAACUAAGGCAGUUGGAGGGUUGUCAGGGCCAUUACCAUACACAUAUUUCGUAUCCAUGUAGGAGAUUGAUCUUUGAGAAGGCUGCAUGUUUUCGAGAAGUACGUAAGAUUAUAUUUAUGUUAAUAAAAUAUAAAUAGGUAAUAAAAUACAAACCAGCAACAAAAUCCCGAAAAUGUUAGAAAGCUCUCCUCAAGUAAAUCUCUAAGCAGCAUCAUGCCUUACCCUGUAAGUCUAUAACCACAUCCAACAGGUUACUUGACAUUUGUUCAUGCUACUUAAACUCAUCUGUUCUGAAAGAACUAGCAACUUAAAUUGAUAACAAACAGCAUAUCCAACCGAUCCUAUUCUGUAAGAAUUUAUAACCAGAACCAUAGCAUAUACAACAGUAUCAUCAAUCUUCAUGCCUUGGACAAAAUCUAACUAGUUACAGCAAAUAAAGUUGGAAACCAGCUAUUUGGUCCCACUGACAGGACCUGGCAAAUUACAGCAGAUUUAUAACUACUAGUAUUGCAGCCAGAAAAAUGGCUAAAAGCCUAAAUCCCCUAUCUUAAGAGUACUUUUUAGUUUGGAGAAGAAGAUACCACUUAACUGUCUUGAAAGUCUCUUACAUGGAGAAACAGAAAGAAUGGCUGCUCUCUUCCAUGCGAGUCGCAAUACCAUGUUCAUCUGACCUCGACAACCAUGGAUACCAUGUUAAUUGCAUAUCAAUUAGUUAGCAGAGAGAGACGUAUGUUGAUCUAUAUUAUUGAAUACUAGCUCAAUUAGCAGAACAACAAUAUGUUUUGCAAUCAAUCCUUUAUUCAGUUUAAUCCAUCUUCAGGAUACUGCAAUAAAAAACUUUCGUACUUGAGCGAAGUUCUCAGGAACAUACCCUGUUAAAAUUACCCUUACAAGGACCCCUAUUUUCUUGUGCAAUUUAUCAACUCAUUACCUAUUGAUUAUGGUCUUUUUAAAAUGAAUUAUAAAAAUGAUAAAGAGUAUUUUCUAUAAAAAAAACCUAGAUAUUUUCACAAAGAUUGUGAAAUGUAAGGAAUGGUGAAAGAAUUUAAGCCUGGUGCUAGUGCUUUUGUGUGUUUGGAAACAAAUUUAUUUAAGGUUUCUUAUAAUAGUUUAUGGAUUUAUUCAUGUUGUAAUUUCUUGAAAUCAUAUAUAUAUACAUGUGUGUGUGGUCUUUUUUAUGUUACUUCUUUCAAUAAAAAAAAAAUACAUUAUAACCUAUAUUGAUGACUGCUCACAUUAUGGAUAUGUUUAUUUGUUGCAUGACAACUCUCAAGCAAUAGAUGCCUUUGAGGUAUUUGUUAAUGAGUUUGAAAGACAAAUAACUAUGAAUAUGAAAGUUGUCAAGUCAGAUAGAGAUCACGAAUAUUAUGAAAGAUAUAAUGAGACUGCAUAAUAACAAGGUUUAUUCUCCAAAUUCUUUAUGAAUUGUGGCAUAUAUUCUUAAUACACAAUGCUAAGUACACCAUAAAAAAAUUAUGUCACAGAAAAGUAUAAUCAUGCUUUAUUAGAUAUAGUUAGGAGUAUGUUAAGUCAUUCAUUUGUACCAACAUCAUUGUUGAUGUUUAUAUUGAAAAAUGUUAGGAAUUUAUUAAAUAUACUUCCUAAUAAAGCAAUUCCAAAACACCUAAUGAAUUGUGGGUGGAUGAAAAACCUAGUUUAAGACACUUACAUGUUUAAGGUUGCCAUGCAAAAGUAAGAAUUUAUAAUUUACAUGAAAAGAAAUUGGAUUCAAUUAGAACAGCUAGUGUAUUCUUCUUUUGUUAUCCCAAAAAAAUAUGCAAGGUAUAGAUUUUAUUUUCUUAAUCAUAACACAAGAAUUGUUUAAACAUAAAAUACUAUUUUCAUUGAAAUUUAUGAAGUUAAUGGGAGUGAAAUAUCGUGUAAUAUAAGAAUUCAAGAAAGUAGGGUAUAAGUUCCCUUACUCUCUAUAUAUUCUAAAGUUGUUCCUCAAAUUAUUGAAUAGUUUAAAUCAAGGACAAUAAUUAAUGAUUAUACACCUUACAAUGAGAACAUUGUUGAUGACCCUAUAAUAGAUGAGCCACAAGAAAUAGUAAUAAUUAGAAACGUGGCUCGUGCUACGCUGCGGAUCAAUUUUUUUAUAUAAAAAAUAUUCAAAAAAGUUAAAAUUUAAGUGUUAGUUUUUCUACAAAGUUAUACAUAAGAGCAUUAGGUCUAUCUGUUACUCCUAAUCUAAAAGUUAUAUUUAUAAUAUUAUAUAAAAGCAUUAGAUCUACAAAUUUUUUUUUAUUUACUUAUCAAACUUUCACUACAUAAAUCUAAGGUUUGAUGGGUUAACCUGGUUUGAAGGGUUAACCCAGUUAAUUUAGUUUUUUUUUUCUUUUUCUUCAUUAGUUUUUUUCAUCCAAUUUCAUCUUUUAAUAUUAUAAUUAACUCAUAGUGAAAAGGCCGGGCUUUUUUUUUUAUGAAUAUAUUUGUUUGUUAAUGUUAAAUUUUUUUUCUAUUUAGUUAUCAAAUUUUUAUGACACGGAUUCCGGGUUUGACGGAUUAACUCGGAUUUUUUUUUGUUUUUCUUUUUAAUUAAUUUUUUUGUUUAAUUUAGUUUGUUAAUGUUAAAUUUUUUUUUAUUUAGUUAGCAAACUUUUAUGUCACGAAUCUUGGGUUUGACGGGUUAACCCGGCUAAUUCUGGGUUAACUCGUAAAUAUUUUUUUUCCUAUUCAGUUAUCAAACUUUCAUGACACAAAUUGCAGGUUUAACUGAUAAACCUGAUUUGAAGGGUUAACCCUGUUAAUUCAGAUUUUUUCUUCUAUUUCUUCAUUAGUUUUUUUCUUCAUGUAGGCUUUCUUUGCUUUAUAACCUGAUUUGGUGGGUCAACCCAGUUGAUUCAAAUUUUUUUUUCUUCAUUGGUUUUUUUCUUUCAAUUUCAUCUUUAAAUAUUGCAGUUAACUAUAACAAAAAGGCAUCAACCUUUUUUUUUCCAUAUUUGAUGGGUUAAACCAGUUGAUUCAGAUUUUUUUUUUUUUUAAGUAGUUUUUUUCUUUGAAUUUCAUCUUUUAAUAUCGAUUUAAUUAAAAAUUAAACUUUAUGAUUUAUUUUAUUUACUGUUCAUUAGAUUAUUGUGAUCUCAUGAGGGGAUUUUAUUGCACCCCUCCUUGCAAAGCACUAUUUAUCGGAAUAAUGCUUUACUUUAUUGUUUUUUUCUUUUCAAUUAAUCUUUUUUUUUUCAUUAUGUAAUAUUAAUUUUUUUUUCUUUUUAAUUAUCAUAUUUUUAUAACACAACCUUGCACCAGACCCAUAUCCAAGACUCCGGGUUUGAUGUUGCAACCAAACUUAUUUAAACUUAGGUCAUGCAAGUUUAAUAUUAUUAUUAAUAUUAUAAAUAUAACUUUUGGAUCAGGCGUAGCAGACAGACCUAAUAUUUUUAUAUAUAAUUUUAUAGAAAAACCUAACACUUUUAGAUUUUAAUUUUUUUUAUUUUUUUAUGCAAAACAAAAAAAUUUACCCGCGACGUAGCGCGAGCCACGUUUCUAAUCUUCUCUAAAAAGAAAAUAUGACAUGUGAUAAGAACAUUGGCAGAGCCACAUAGGGCAAGAGGGGGCAAUUGCCCCCUUCCCCCAAUGCAUAAAUGUAAUUCUCUGCUGGUACAACUUUUGCAGCAUAUUGAAAUUCAAAUUUGCAGGCUUUAGUACAAGUUUGAUGUGCAGUUCGUCUUUCUUGUAGCUGUUAUUCUAUAUUUUAUUUGCUGAUAAUUUUUACUCUGAAUUUGAUGUUCACUUUUCAAAGGGCUGUAACCAAUAACAUAAUAAGGGUUGUCCAAACAAAAACUUUCAUUAAAUAAAGUAGAAUUUUAAGAAUAACAGUUGGGAUCACAUAAGCCCAGGCAUAGUUAUUUAUAACUAGUUUAUUAUAUUAAAUUAUUAAUAUAAUAUUUUUAUUGGGUUAAUUGUUUUUUAGCUACUAAUUGAACCAGAUUCUUUAUUUUAUUUUUCAUUAAUAAUCUCAACUCGCUUCUUUCUAUAAAAUUUCUUUUCAGGCCUUAAGCUAUUAAUUAGUUAAGCAAUUAACCUCUUAUAUUUUAUGCUUUAAAAAAAAAUUUCAUCUUUUUUAUUUGUUUCAUUAUCUAAUUUUAGUUUUAUUUUUUUAUAAUUAGUUAUCGAAAAUGUAGGAUUUAUAAUAAUAUUGAAAAAGAUAUUUUUAAUGAGAUUAAAAAUAAAAUUAUUAUGAAGCAGUUUUAAAAUAUAAAAUCUUGAAGAGAUGUAAGUUUUUUUAUUUUAAAAGCAUUCUUAAAUUAAUUUACUUGACUUGAGUUGAUAUGUGUGUGUAUACAUAUAUAUAUUUCAAAUUAUUUUUUAUAUAUAACACAUGUAUGUAUAGUUAAUAAUUUGCCUCCUUAUUUAAAAAGUUCUAGCUCCGCCACUGAAUAAAAACAAGGGAAAACCUUUACUUCAUCAGGUGGAUUAUUUUCAAUCCUUCAUCUGUUAUGUUAUCUUGGUCACACACUGUAUAAACUCGUGGGCAGGACCAUAUUUAUCUUUUGUAAACUUGAUUUCUUUUUUAGUUGUCUCAAUGUUAAACAAAUGGAAAGGUGGUAGUAACAACAACAUUACAACGUAAGAUCCUGGUAAAGAUUAACAAAUCAGCAGUAUCAAAGAAAAUUCAACUAAAUACAACCAUAUUUAGGUAGCUCAUGGUGAAGUAAAAUAUACUUGAAUCAUGUAGAAAGAUAAAUACUCUUUACCUUUAUUGGGGAGAACUGGUGUCAGCCGAAACAAAAAGGACAUUGAAUGAUUCUUAGGCACAUUACUAAACAUAUAUUUAAGAGGAUGAUUAGGAGCGUGGUAGUGGUUGUUUUUUAAAUAACUUUUCGUGUCGAAAUGCAUGUCAAUAAUUUUUUUUAAAAAAAAAAAAAAAUUAUUUUUGACAUCAGCACAUCAAAACAAUUUAAAAAAUACAAACCGCACUCAAUUUUAACAAAAAAAACAUUUGAAUUUUUUGGAAACGUAAGUUGAACCGCGUUCCCAAAUAGCCUCUAAAUCCGUCAAAGAAUCCACUUGUUUCAUGUUGAUUUUGUGUUUGAUUUUGUAGUGGCAUAGUAAUUUGAAAAAAAUUAAUUUUUAAAAUUUAAAUUAAUUAUUUUUAAUAUUUUUAGAUUAUUUAAUGUGUUAAUGUUAAAAUAAAAAGUUUUAUAUUUUAAAAUAAAAAAAUAUUUUCAAAAACAAUUAUUAUCUAAACAUUUCCUAAUAAGAUAUUUCAAAAGAAAGAAAAUAUCACCAGCUAUCACACACGAAAAGUUAAAAAUGUACUUAUCACCAGCUAUCACACACGAAAAGUUAAAAAUGUACUUGUUCUAAGCUUUUUACAAUGUAUUGUACUAUAUUUUAGUGAUUCUAUUCAGCUAUAUAUCAUUGCUGUAUUGCGUGGACCAAAAUGCAAAUUUGAGGGAAAUUAAGAAUAGGCCUAUUAAGCUGACGUUUUGGAAAGUAGGCUUAUCUUAGGCACAAGGAUUUUAGUAGAGCUAGUUAUAACUUUACAUGUUGCUUUCGAGGAAACAACAAGUCUCUCCCAUUAAUUAUCUAAUACUCUAAAACAUGAGAAAAGUAUUAUAGUUUUUUCUAUAUAUUUUUUUGUUUAUAUAUUUUUUUUUCUAAAGAUUGUCUUUUUUUUAUUAUUAUUCUUUUUUAUUUUAUGUUUUUUUUUAAAUUAUCUUUCUUGAUUUUUUUUAAUAUUGAACUGGUUGAAAAUUUAGUUCUGUAGUUUUUUUUUUAAAAAACAUUAUGAAUUACUACAAUAUUUUUCUACAUAGUUUUUUUUCUUUUUUAUAUGAAUUUUUUUUUUAAAUGCUCUUUAUCGAUUUUUUUUUUUCAUAUUAAGCUAGUUGAGAAUUUUGCUUCGUAGUUUUUUUCAUUAAAACAUUGUGAAUUGUUAUAAUGUUUCUCCACAUGGUUUUUGUUUUGCCACAGUGUUUCUCCACAUGUUUUUUUCAAAAUUAUCUUUGUCGAAUUAAUUUUUUUUUAAUAUUGAGUUAGUUGAGAAUUUAGCUUUAACUUUCCCUACAUGUUUUUUUUUUCAUUUUUUUUAAUUUUUGCUUUUUUUUUUCUAAAAUUGUCUUCUUUUUUCUAUUUUUCUAUUUUAUUUUUUUGCAGAAUUGUUUUUGUUGAUUUUUUUUUAAUAUGGAGUUGGUUGAGAAUUUAGCUUUAUAGUUUUUUUUCUUUAAAAUAUUGUGAAUUGUUAUAAUGUUUCCCCACAUGGUUUUUUUUAUGAUUUUUUUCCAUAAUUGUCUUUGUCAAUUUUAUUUUUUUUACAUAUUGAGCUGGUUGAGAAUUUAGCUUUGUAGUUUUUUUAUAAAAAAAAACAUUGUGAAUUGCUACAGUGUUCCUCAACAUGAUUUGUUUUGUUAUGAAUUUUUUUAAAAUUAUUUUUAUUGAUUUUAUUAUUUUUAAUAUUGAACUAGUUAAGAUUUAUAAAUGUAGAUUUCCUCAUAAAACACUAUAGAUUGUUACGGUGUUUUCCUACAUGGUUUUUUUUUCCUUUUAUUUUUUUUCGUUAUGAUUUUUUCCAAAAGUUUCAUUGUUCAUUUUAUUUUUUAAAUAUUAAGCAGACUAAGAAUUUAGCUUUAUAGUUUUUUCCUUAAAACAUUGUAGACUGUAAUAAUUUUUUUCCAUAUAAUUUUUUUUUUCAUAAACCUAUAAUAACAUAUAAGUAUGCCACAAGUUCCUAACAUCGCGCGGGCAUGGCAUCUAGUAAUAAUUAAAAAAUGUAGUUAAAUUAUAAAGAAAUCACUAUUUAUUAGAAUAGCAUAGGGAUAAGUUUCUCUUCGAUCAAAAAAUACAAAGUUUUUCACGAGAGAUAAAAUAGCUUUAUAUAUCAUUAUUGAGUUCAUUGGGGAUAGCUUAGUCAUUUUCCAUAUAAUAGCACAUUAGAAUUAUUUAAAUGCCUUUAAAGGUAAAAAAUUUGUUAACUUGAAUUUAGGAGCUCAUUGGAUUUUUUACUUUGUUAAGCACAAUGUAAUGACUAUAUAGCCCUUAGAAUUUGAAAACAUUUAUCCUUCUUUUAAAGGGCUUAUUAGUAAUUUUCUCUUGGUUUUUUAUGGUUGUCAUGUGGUAUUACGGGCAAAUUAGUAUUUUUAUUAAACUACAAAAUAAAAUAAAAAAAUGGCUAUUGAUUUAGUUUUUUAUAGCAAUCCUUUAAUUUAAUUUUACUUGAGGUUUACUCCCUCUUAUUUUAAUUGCAUUUCUUUUAUUUCAAAUAAUUAUUUGAAUUUGGAAAUUGUUUUUAAAUUCAUUUUCCUUUAAUUUUUCUAAUCAUUUAUUCUGGUUUUCUUUAAAGGUACAGUAUUCACAUACUUAAUUUAAAAAUAUAACUUAAUCAGAUUUUAUAUUUGUUUUUUUUAAAAUUACCCAACACAAAUAUCAACAUAAUUAAUCUGAACAUUCACAGUGAAAAAAAAAGAAGAUAAAUAUAUAUACAUCAUGGCCUAGAUGGUGCUGGAUGAAAAGUAGGCCACUAGGACUGGACAUUUCCAACUUGUCAGCAUCUUCUCUCCCAAUAUACUCCACCGAGCAAUAGCAAAUAUCAGUAUCAAACAACAACAUCAAAAGAAUGGGAGAGGUCAACAAUCAAAAACAGCAUUUUGUUUUGAUCCAUGGUUCAGUUGCAGGAGCGUGGAUAUGGUACAAGGUCAAGCCAAGGCUAGAGGAAGCUGGCCACCGUGUCACAGCUCUUGACAUGGCUGCAUCAGGUGUGAACACACAAAAAAUUGAAGAAGUUCGUACUUUUGAUCUGUAUAAUGAGCCCUUGAUGGAGUUCAUGGCCAAAUUACCUGAAAAUGAAAAGGUUGUAUUGGUGGGGCACAGUUUAGGUGGCUUGAAUCUGGCUUUUGCUAUGGAGAAAUUCCCAGAGAAGGUUUCUCUUGCUGUUUUUCUUACUGCAAUCUUGCCUGAUACCGUGCACCAGCCAUCUUAUAUGUUAGAAAAGGUAUCUCUGUGUUGUUAUUAUUAUUAUUAUGAAGACCCCUUUUCCCCUUUCUAAUUAAGAUGGUCAUGCACGAAAAUGGGUUGAUCUAUUUUGUUUGGUUUCUCUAUUCGAGUAAAUGCUAUGAACAACCCUAGGUUUGACGAAAUCUGAUUUUGAAAAAAGAAUAAUUUUUAAGGUCUUGAGACUUCUUUUUUUUCAUUAAAGUAUUUCUUAGUUCACUGAUGAUAUCAAUUCGAACAGUAUCAAAUCAGAUGGAAUCACAGCCCUCACAUUAGUUAUUGAAGAGUGUGAGGGAGAUCGGCCUCUUGUAUAUAAGAUCUAAUGAAAGAUCCAAAAGGCUAAAAGGGAUAAUUGGUAUUCGAGAUGCUUGAUUAGCUUCAAUCUUUUGCUUAAUUCAAGAUGAGGUUUUAAUUCACACACAUGCAAAUGUAAAAGUCAUUAUCAAUCAUGUUCUAACAUCAAAAUGAUAUUUUGGCCUCCUUGUUAGUUUGCUGAAAUCGGUCCCAGGGACGAAGAGUGGCAAGACACUCUCUUUUCAUUCCAUGGAACCCCUGAAGAACCGCAUACAUGUGUUCACAUGGGAUUUGAGUUUAUGAAGUGCAAGCCCUUUCAUCUUUCCUCCGCUGAGGUACACAAAUCUUUCUUAAAAAUUAUGAAUCUUGGACUAGUUUUCAUUGUAAUAACCAGUUAUGAUACUGUUCUUGUUCGCAGGAUCUCGCUCUGCAGAUGCUCUUAAAUAGACCAGGAUCGAUGUUUGUGGAAAGCCUGUCCAAGGCAAAGAAGUUCACUGAUGAGAGAUAUGGAUCAGUGCCGCGAGUUUAUAUUGUUUGUACUGAGGAUUUAAUGAUGCUUGCCUCAUUUCAGCGUUGGAUGGUUGAGCAAAAUGGGGUAAAGGAAGUGAUGGAGAUUCCUGCAGAUCAUAUGCCAGUUUUUUCGACGCCUGCAGAACUCUGCCAUUCUAUACUGGAGUUGGCACGUAAGCAUGCUUAGAUGGCAUAUACGCCACGUAUCCUUAGCUGGUGUGCUUUUUAUGUAUGUGAUAGUUGUGCAACCCAUCUUGGCUGCAUUUGCUUCGGAUUUGUGUGAGAUUGUAGAAGGAAUCGGGUUGUUUUUAUUUUUUAUUUUUGGCUAUUAAAGAAAAAGAAAAUAGGAGAAAUAAAUGGUUAUUCAUUUGUGUUAGAUUGUAGAAGGAAUUGGGUCGUGUCCAUAGCUGGUGUGCUAAUUAUGUAUUAUGAUUUGAGUCUGCUAUGUUUGUUCACAAAGAUUCAAAAGAUUGUAAAUUGAUAAGGAAGGUUCUGUUCUCUGACUAGCUCCUCAAUUACUUCCCUUUAUUGUUAUUAUGUGAAAAUAGUCUUUUUAAACAAGAAUUUAGAAAAAGAAAUUUAUAUGGAUUAAUUAGAGGGAUUUCCAGCAGAGUUAAAGGAGCACAUGGUGUUUAAAUUUAAGAAAACAAUAUAUGGAUUUAAACAAGUAUCUCAAGUUUGAUAAUACUGUUAUUUUAUUUGGAUUUAAGAAAUGCAAUUUUGACUAGUGUAUAUAUCUCAAUGUUAGAGGGAGCAAAUUUAUAUUAUUUUAUUUUUUAUAUUAAUGAUUUAUUGUUUGGAACUAAUAAUCUUGGUUUACCAUAUGAGACCAAGCUUUCUCAGUAAUAACUUUAAAAUGAAAAAUAUGAGAGAGGCAACUUAUACGAUAAGGAUAGAAAUAUUCCGAUAUAAAUCACAAGGAUUGUUAGGUUGUCUUUAAAAGCGUUUAUCAAUAAGAUUUUAGAAAGAUUUAUAAUAGAUAAAUGUUUAGUAAAGGUGUUUCAAUUCAAAAAUAUGGUAAAUUUAUCCUCAUGCAAAUAAUGCUUGGAAAAAUGAUUAUAUGCCCACUUAUAGAAAAUAUGAUCUACUUGAAAUUGUUACAUAUUCAAAUUAAGAUUUUGUUAGAUGUGUGGAUGAAAACAAAUAUUAAUAUUAUGGUAUUUGUUCCUUUGAGUUAUAGGAGCAGUCUCAAAAAAGCCAGGUACAACUGGGUUGACAUGCAGUCGGCCGAAACAAAAAGGACAUUGGAUAAUUCUUAGGCGCGUUACUAAAUAUAUAUAGUAAGAACAUCAUGAAAUGCGUGAUUGUUUUUGCUGUGGUACAGUACUUUAUAAUAUUAUUUUUUUAACUUAAAUUAAUUUGUUUUUUUAGUGUUUUCACUCAUUUUGAUACAUUGAUAUCAAAAAUAUUAUUUACCAAUGAAAUGUUGGUUUAACGGUUAAAGCACUGCUAUAUCCCUAUAAAGAUGAGAACACAAGUUUGAUCCCCAGAAAACGUGCUUAUUGGGAGAGGCAGCCACGAACCUCAAACGGGACUAGUCUCACCCUUUAAAAGGAUGUGAGAAUACCCGAGUAAAAACCAAAAAAUAAUAUAUCAAAAAUAUUAUUAAGAAAGUAUGUAAAUAUAUAAUAUAUAUUUUUUAAAGUAUUUUUUACGUAGAAAUACACAAAAAUAAUAAUUUAAAAAAAAAUUAUAUAUUGUUUUUAUUUAUUUAUAAGUAGAAAAACACUUUAAAAGCAUUAAAUAUUUCUAAAGAAAAAAAUAUCACCAGCUAUCACACACGGAAAGUUUAAAAUGUCCUUGUUCUGAAGCUUUUUACAAUGUCUGGCACUGUAUUUAAUCAUUCCUUUAUUGCGUGGACCAAAAUGCAAAUUUGAGGGACAUCAAGAAGAAGCCCACUAAGCUGACCUUCCGGCGAGCAGCUUAUCUCAAAUUUAAUACUCCCGAUUUUUUUUUCCUUGGCAUAUAUAAAAAAUUCACUUAGGUUUGCCUAAUUUUUUAUAUUAUUAAAUUAGACUUGUUUUUAUUUUAUAUUAUUAAAAUAAUUAAGCUUAUUAAACAUGUUAACUUAAUGACUCGAGUUUUGGAUUUUUUUUUUUUUAUCCUUAAACGUUACAUUGGUUGGGAGGAGAUUUUUUUAUUGAACCCGAAUCUAAGAUUUAACGAGUUUUGAAUUUGAAGGAUUAGCUCAUGUUUGGAAAAAAAAUUUGGGUUUGCUUGGUUUUUUAUAUUAUUAAAUCAGUAUUUUUUUUUAUAUAUUAUUAAGUUAAAAGAUCUUAUGAAACUCAGGUACUCAAUAACUCAAGUCUUUAGAUUUUUUUUUUUUUAGCUUCUCUAGAAACACUUACGUAGCCUGAGCAUUUUUUUAAUCUACGUUUAAAAUUUUACCAGCCCUUGGUUCAUCGCGAUUGACCUUCCUGGUUUGCUUUGGAAUAGGUUUCAUAGAGUUUCCAUGUUCUCAUGCUCCGUAUAACGGGUAUAGAGUUAGUAAAUGUGGAAGCCGCUAUAAGAGUUUGGGUCCAUUAAACAUUAGAAAUUUAUAACAUUUUUGACCCAUCAAGCACAUUUCACAUUAACCUACAUGUUCAGGGAUUGGAAUUCCCAUACAGCCUUGCCAACGAUUCCAUCAUUGAUGCUUGGCCAUCAAUGGUACCCAAGCUAGACAAGGUUGAAACUAGGUUCAUAUUCUUUUUGUCUUUUAUUUUUAAUUUUUAAAGGUUUAAAGGAUUUAAAAAUACUUUAUAUACAAUAUUUUAACAUCUUUAAUCUGAUUUUACUUUCUUUUUGUUUUUAUACCCCAAAUAUUACUAACAAAAAUUAAAAUAACGACGAAGAUAGAAUUAAACUUGAAGAAAAGGGGGCAUAAAAUUUUUUUUGUAAUUUUUAUUUUCAUUAGUAUUGUCAGAAUAUUCAAAGUUUAGACCAUUCUAAAAAGCAUUUUUCCAACAAGAAAAGGAUAAUUAAAAGAAAAUUACUAUUGUCAGAACAUGAUAGACAUUAUUUCUUAUUUUUAAGUUUCCCAAAAUGCCCCUAACUAUUUCAACCCUAUAUUUUUUUAUAUAAAAAAAAAUUAAUUGAUAUAUCUUUACAUACAAAAUCACACAUGUUCUCAUCUCAUCUUCUCUCAUUAUGGAAAUUAGAAUUUUUUAAGUUUUAUAUUUUGAUGGGCUAAUGCAGUUGAAAUUAGAAUUUUACUAAGGGAUGGACACCUUUUAUAUAUACGUGUGUGUGUGGCAGUGCCAGUAGAAAACGGGAUGACAUAGUAUGACAUUACGUGUGCAAAACUAGUUAGAGUAAAAUUUGCGGCUAUUUGCACUUGAGGUCUUGACCUAGUGGUGGAAGGGGCUUGUCUCCUUCCUCUACAUCAGGAUUCAAACCUCAUUGUGCACGCCUGUUACCACCGCGGUGCUUUACAUGUUCACUGGGUUUACAGGAUGUUCAGUCAACCGUGAGAUUAGUCGUGGUGCACGCAAGCUGACCCGGACACCCACGUAAAUAAAAAAAAAUGCGGCUAAUUUGGUUUUUAGCACAUUUUUUAAAAGAGAUUGGUGAAAUAAAAAAAUAAGUGAAAUAACAAAGUUUGUGAUUAGAAAACUUGAUUUUUAUAAUUUGUUAUUAUUAUGAAUAAUGAUAUCUUUUAAAAAGUAUUAAAUAGGGAGGGAGGAAAGAGAGAGAGAGAGAGAGAGAGAAAAAAAAAACCCUUAAAGCAAUAUCAAAGCUCUAAUUAUGACAUCAUAGAUAUCAUUAGAAAAAAUUUUACGAGACGAAUUCAACGAUGUAAAAAAAAAUCACCAACUGUGACUUGAGUAGGCACACUUGCCGUCAAAAAUAAAAGGAUCAUCCUCUAGUUUCAGGUUGCAAGCAUGGUCCAUUAGAGUCAUUGUUGGUAACAUUAUUUGGUGAUAUUAAAUUCCUCUCAUCAAAAUCUUUCUAAUGAUAUUGAUGAUAUUUCAUGUGUCUUUUAAAUUAUUUUCUUUCUAUUUUUUUUCUCUUUCAUAUUUCUUAUCUCUUGCUUAUUAAUUUUUUAAACAAAUUAUAAAAUCAUGUUUUCUAGUCAUCACAUGUAUGAAUUGAACUAUUUCACACAAAAAAAAAUCAACUUAUUAUUCCAUCAAUAUUUUUAAUAAAUUAUGCAUCAAAAUUUGCAGUGACAAAUGAUCAAAGAAUUCAGUAUGGUUGGUCUUAUGUUUUAUUUUUUAUGAUUGUCUUGUCAAAACUUCGUAUUUUAUUGAGUGUUGAUUGAAUUUAGGAGAAUUUUCCAUAAGUUUUCUAAUUUGUUUUACUUACUUCCUCUUGACAUAAAUGUAUAAUCAUACACAAUAACUGCACGUUAAGUUCAACACCCAUUUCAACAUAAGAGUAUAUUUUCUUUAAAUUAAAGACAUGAUAAUAAUAAUAUAAGAUUGGUUCCCUUUUCUUUUUUACUAGGAUAAUUUAAUAUAGGUCAUAUAUCUUUUUUUUUUUCGGGUUAAGAAAAUCAGAUACCAAAAGUCAAUCAAACAAAUAAUUCACUUUCUCUUGACUUUAACACUAUCAUCUUUUUUUAUGAAAAAAAAUAAAUAAUUUGUUUUUGGAUUAUGGAUGAUAAAUAAAUUUAUAACUCGAUUUUUUACUUUUUUUAAAAAAUAUAUAUAAAAUAGCAAAAAAACAACAAACAAAUAAAAAAUAUUUUUUUUAUGUAUUUGCAUUGUUUUUUUAAUAUUUUGAGCUUCUUUUCAAAAGAAUUAAAAUUUUAAAAAUUACUUUAAAUGCGUUCAUUUUUAAUAUGUUUAUUUGAAAAUCAUUGACUUAUUUUUAUUUUCAAGUCAACAUUGAUGUUAUCUUUAAAAAAAAAUAAAAAAAAACAAAAAACAAUUUAGGCAAUGAUACCAAAAAUAUGAAAAAAAAAAUGAGGGAUCAAAGUGAUUUUGAAUGGCUUAGUCACCAAGUUUGCUUUGGGAUAAAAGCAACUAGGAGGAAAAAAAAAAAAAUUUUUUACUUGUAAGUAGUAAGGGAAUCUCACACAAAAAAAAAAAAAUUAAUUAGAGCAUUAGUGAAAAAUAAUACACACCUCAUACACAUCAAAACACUCUCUCUCGUAAGAAACCUUAAAAGUCUUAUCUCUUUCUUUUUUUUCAAUCCAGCGCCCACCCUCACCUAAAAAAAAACGUACUUAUUUUUCUUCUCCAAACAUUACACUUAGCAUUAAUACACAUAAAAAGCACUGAAACUGGGAGGGGGGCUCUUUGUUUUUUGAACCAAGCUUCAUCUCUCAAAUCCCUUAUUCCUUACUCGAAAAUAAAAGAAAUAACAACAAAGCUCUCCUUCUCCAUUCCAAUGCACCCAAAAACAUUAUGUUCAGCAACUUCUCUCUUCACAUUUUUUUCAAGAGACUAGCCAUCAACUCCUCUAAAUUCAAAACCAACCUACACCAUUGUAAGCUCAACACCAAGUCAACCUCCCCUUAUUUUUCACUGUAAAAGAACCAAACACAAUAGCUUCUGUCUUCUUAAAUAGCACCAAUCAAUGUAAAUCAACACUCUCCCAUAACUGACUAACCCAUUAUUGGCCAUCAUCAAUGUUAGCACCUCUAACAGCCUCCACUUCCUUCAACUCGCCACCAUCGCUGGAACCAACCAUUGUGUACAGCACCUAUUUUCCACUAAGAGAUACAAUAGAAGCAUCCACCAUUUAUAGCAACUAGCAGUUGCUUCGGCUUCAACAAGACCAGCCACAAACGGCUAUGGCAACAGCAUAGCCCCUUUACCACCACGAACUUCAAUAGCUUUAAUUUUAAAGACCAACCAGCAUCCACAAACGCCAGUGGUAGCAAAAGCUUUUUUUUUUUUGUCAUGAAUGAGAUUCACCUUAAUAGUGGUAGUCCUCAAAUCAUGAGCCCUUUCCAUAGAAUAACACUAGAUCAAAUGAUUUCAUGUUUUCCCACAAGCUGACACUAACAGCUAUGUCUAGAACCAGUAGUAGCAGUGAAAAAAGAUGUUGAGAACUAGUAGAGAGAGAGAGAUGAAAGAGAGAGAAAAGAAACGAGAAGAGGGUCGAACUUUUAACCAAGUAGAUCUCCUUCAUUAGAUAUUUGUUUGUCUCACCACCGGUGUAAAAGUAAAGAGAUGGUAGAGAAGCUUCAGAUCUAGCAGCUCAUGCUCAUUCGAUAAUGGCAGAGCAUGAAUCUCUAUGCUGACAAAGAUGGCGGCAUGUGCAUUCUCAUGCCACCAUUGUUCUAGCGAUCCUCUAACCUAAUUCUAGUAGCUCUUAGACAUGUUAAACAUUUUGAAAGGUUGACUCAUAGCCUCAAAAUACAUUUUUGAAAAAUUUUUAUAAUGAUGUAAAAUUUGAGAUGAAAUGCUUAUUAUUGUGUAUAACUUUUGGAUUGUUUGGACACUAUUAAUUGGGUAUGAUUUGUGUUUUGAAUUUGAAAUGAUUUGAUUAUUUGUGUUGAAUUGUGAGCUUUUUUUUUAUGUUGUGAUUGGUAAUUAAACAUUAAAUCUUGAUUUAUGGAUUAUGUUUGAAUUUAUAUUGAUUUAUUUCAAAUUUGAAUGAAGUUCAUGAAAUUAAUAAGAUUCUUGUGGAUUUUUAGUAUUGUUCGAUUUUAAGUUGAUGAACAAUAAUUCAUCUUGAGUUGAUAACAUGUUUAAAAUAGGUUGAUAAAAACACUUUAUUUGUGUUUAGCCAAACACAGCCUUAGUCUAGUUUUAAUAAAUUUUUAAUUUUUGAAAGAUCAUAUUGCAAUUAAUUUUGAAUUCCCACACUUUUUCUUACCCUUUCAUAUUUAAUAUUUGAAAUUGUAACCUACACGUAAGGCCUAUUUUAGUAUUAAAUAAAUUGGUUCUCUUCCAUAAAAAAUAAAAAAAAAUCUUUCUUUUAAAAAAUACAAUUCUAUCUUAAACUACAUAUGGUCAAGUCUCUAUGCGUGUCUAUGGAUUAAAAGGCAUGAUUUAGCAUAGUUAAAUACAAAAAUUUAAGAAAAACAGUUUUGUUGAGAUCUUUACAUGUAUUUAUGGAUUUAAUAACCAGUUUAUAAAAUCCAUAAGAAUUUGGUCUAUAUUUCAAAAAAACACCAAAAAUCUAUUUUGUUUUUUUUAAAAUAAAGGACUGUGAAUUUAUUUGUAAGAUGUAUUAUCGAUAUUGAAUAAAAAGAUAUUUUCUUUUAUUUUCUUGUUUUGACUUUAGAAUGGUUAGGUUUUAACCUAAUACAAUAAAACCUCCUUAUUAAGAAAGACUUCUCUUAAAUCUCAAACAUACCAACUUUUAGAAAACACACCAAUAUCUUAGUUUAUAUCAGACAAAUAAACAAUAUAAUUUACCUUAAGUAAGGUGUACUAGGUGUGAUACGUCAUCUAUAUAAACAACUAGUCCCCUUAUCUAGACUCUUAGACUAGUUAAGGUUACUAGUAACCAAAAUACUAGAUGGAGACUCUAUUUUUUUUACUAAUAAAGGAUGAGAUCCACCUAUCACAACAAAAAUCUCGGUUCGGGAGGACGUUUGCCAUAAAGCAGCAUAUAUGUGACAAAAUACAACAAAUCCUUGUAGGAAGGAAGAGUUGUUUUUAUAUUUAAGUUAGUUUUAGAUGCUCCAAUAAUUAACUAUUAUAUCAUGUUGUUAUAUAACUGAUAAACCUAAAUUUAACAGGCUUAAAAACCCUCUAAAAACUCUUUCAUAAAAAUAUAGUUCCAAGUAGUAGUUUGGGUCUAAGGCUCUGUUUGUUUGCUGGAAAGUAGUUUCCUUUUGGAAAGUAAAUUCCGGGGAAAGUGAAUUCCGAGAAAGUAUUUUCCGAUGUUUGGUAGUGUAAUGGAAAAUGAGUUGAAAAACACUUUCCAGUGUUUGGUUAUGUCAUGGAAAAUGAGCUGGAAAAUAACUUAUUAAUAUUUUAUUUUUCUCAAGUUUAUUAAAAUAAUGAGGAACAAAUCUUACAAAUUAAAAGGGUUGAAUGAUGAGAAUGAAAUUGAAAAAAAUAUAUAUAAUUUCAUAAAUUAUCUUAAAUAAAAUAAAUAAUAAUCAAAAUAAUAGGGAUCAAAUCUAAAAAAUUAAAAAAAUUAAAAAUGAAGAAAUUAAAAUAAUAAUAAUCAACAUUUCAUAAAUUAUUUCAAAUAAAAUAAGUAGCAAUCAAAAGAAUGAGGAUCAAAUUUGAUAAAUAAAAAAUUUCAAUAAAAAAAUGAUAAGGAAAAAGCAAAUAGCAAUUAUAAAAAUAAGGACCAAAGUUAAUAUAAAAAUAAAAUUUUAAGAGAUGAAAUUGAAAAAUAAAUAUUCAAAACAAAAUAUAUAUAGCAAUCAAAAGUUUGAGGAUCAAAUUUGAUAUAAUCAGCAAAUAAUGACAUUUCUAAAUUUUUCACAACUUCCGGAAAGUGUUUUCCCCUCAAAAUUUUCAGGAAAACACUUUCUUGAAAACCAAGUCAGAUUUUCCUUUUACUGGAAAGUGUUUUCCAUUGACCAACUUUCCUACUGGCAAACAAACACAAGAAAGUUUGGAAAGUGAUUUCCCGGAAACCAUUUUCCGGAAAACAAACACAACUAAAGGGAAAACACUUUCCUAAAAACCAAGUCAAAAAAUUUUUUGACUGAAAUUGACUGGAAAGUGUUUUCCGUUGACCGGAAAGUGUUUUCUGUUGACUAGAAAGUAUUUUCCGUUGACCGGAAAGUGUUUUCCGUUGACCAACUUUCCUAAUGAUAAACAAACACAGGAAAGUUUGGAAAAUGGUUUCCCGGAAACUACUUUCCGGGAAACAAACAUGGCCUAAGAAGGAACGAGCCCAGUUUGCUGCUUUGGUUGGUGUUGGGUGUGUUAUCACGACCAGCUAGAGUGUUGAGUGUGCACCCUAGUGCCCUUGGCCCUGGUUACUAGCCUAACACCCCUAUAAGCUUAAGUAUGCACUUGAGUCUAGAGCUGGCACCACCCCUUGGCCUCCUAGGCUCAAGCUCCAAACUUAAGCCCAACGACCAUCAGCCCAAGCAAUGCCUCUAGUCCUAUUUUCCACUCCUAACAGAUAUAGACAACUCGUGUAAGCCCUUAUAUUUUUAAGAACUUUAUCUUUGUCGAUGUUUAUAGAAAACUAAUCAAAAAACCAUCAGCUUCUUUCUGAAACUUGUUUUUCAAAUUUUUAGGUCAUUUCAUAGAACACAAUCAAGACAUAUUUAGGCUUCGAUGCAUAACAAAUCUACUAGUCAUUGCAAGCACUUUUUCCAAACUAGAUUUUCAAUAACUAUCAACCAGGUGCAGGUCCUCACUCAGGCUAUAUUGGCAGCCAAAAGGAAAAACCAAGUCUUACGACCUAAUUAAGUCUUGACGUCCUCAGUAACACACAACGCCCCAGCGCACCGCCUAUGGUCAUUCCAAGCGCCCAUAAAUAAUUGCACUGGGAGUCUAGGUAAAAUGACAUCUAAAGAGUAUUUUUCCUCAACACUUACCAAAUCCCUCAAGGGAUCAUGUGUCAUACACAUGCUUAGAAAGAGCGCUCUAUAUGCAUUACCAUUGGCUACCGUGAUAUGAACAUCAAUUACCAAACUUGCCUUUCCAUACUAAACUCCUCGGGCUUUCUAGAGCCUAACAAAUAAAGGAUCGAGAGAUGAUAUUUAUUUGAACACCCUUAAGAAGAUGUUUAUAACCCCAUCAAGUGCGAGGCACUUCCUUGUCCAAAUAAGUUUUGAAUGCUCAAAUCUCCUAGUCCUAUAUUUCUAUAAAAAUAUCUCUUGACAACUAUGAUGACCUCUCUAACCUGAUAGAACAUAUGCAAAACAUACGUAGUUGUAUAGAGUUGAUCAUUCAAGAUAACGACGUAAUGUGUAAGAUCCUCCUCACAACUCUUAAAGGGUUUAUAUGCAAUUGGUAUAAUAAUUUGGAAUCAGGCUCAAUCAGAGGGUUUAAUGACCUCUACACCAAGCUAUUAGCAUGUUUCAACAUGAGUAUACCCGUCAAGAAAAGCUUCAUAGACAUAUUUGGUAUUACAUAGUUAAAGGAUGUGUUUAUUCAACACAUUUACAUUUGAUAUUACUUAAAUUAGAAGAGUUGCUUGAGUUAAUAGCCUUAGAGGCCUUGAUAAGUAGGGUAAGAAAGCAUGCUCUAUUGAGAAAGCUUUACAUCUCACUAAAUAGAAGUUUGUUUAAGUAGAAGUAAGCAAUGUAAAAUUAAUGCAAGUGGAAAAGGCCAUUGUGCUACUGCAUGGGCCUUCUUGCUUUCAAAAUGACAACUAACAUAAAGGACUUUUCAUGCAAAAUUAUUCUUCUCAUACAAAUGAAAGCUUGAGGAAAAAUCAUAAGGGACCAACUUCAAGGUGCUUAGUGUAUCCUAAAAUUUUACUACUCCCCUGAAUCAAAAUAGGAUCACCUAGUCAAGGUAUUUAGGGUAACCAAGGCGAACACCUACCACCAUUAUGACAUGUUUUGAAAAAUCUCCCUUAUACUUGACACUUAGAUGAUUUUAGGAUUCAUAAUCCUCAAUUAGAAUGUAAGUUUAUUUUUUAAAAUAAAAGUAUUGUAUCACUGACAUACAUUUCCUAUCUACAUAUCCCUAAUGCAAUAUUGGACUAGCAUGACUCUCUAGUGAGGCUUCCAGACCACAUAAAAUCUAUAUGGAUUGAUCUUGAAUCUCUCGCCUCUCUAAUAUAGCCUUUUAUUUGCACGACUUUUUAAUGGGGCUUUUGAGCCUUAUGAAAUCUUUUAGGAUUAAUCUCACAUCUCUUGCCUUUUUAGUGUAGUCUCGGACUCGCAGGACUCUCUAGUGGGGCUUUUAGGCCUCAUAAAAUCUUCAAUGAUUAAUCUUAGAUCUUUUAUCUCUACAAUGAAGUCUUAGAUUAGCACAACUCUUUAGUGGGGCUUCUAAGCCUUAUGAAAUCUCUAGGGAUUGAUCUUGAAUCUCUUGCCUCUUCAAUGUAAUCUUGGACUAGCAUGACUCUCUAGUAGGGCUACAAGGCCUUACCAAAUAUUCAAGGAUUGAUCUCGGAUCUCUCGCCUCUCCAAUGCAAUCUUAGAUUGGCACGACUUUUAAAUGAGGCUCUUAGACCUUAAAAAGUCUCCAAUCAUUGAUCUUAGAUCUUUUGUCUCUCUAAUGUAGUCUCAGACUGGCACGACUCUCUAAUAAAGCUCUCGAACCUCACGAAAUCUUUAGGGAUUAAUCUUGGAUCUCCUACAUCUCUAGUUCAAUCUUGGAAUGACAUGACUCUUUAAUGAGGCUCCUAAGCCUCAUGAAAUCUCUAGGAAUUGAACUUAGAUCUCUUGUUCUCUAUGUAUGUUCUCAGAUAUCUCUCUUUCUCCAUUAUAGCUUUAAACCAACAUAACUCUCUAGAUGAGCUCUCAGGCUUUAUGUUAUCUCCAGGUAUAAUAUAGUAUCUUUCACUAUCUAAUUCACUUUCAGAUUGGCAAAACUCGUCAAUGAGGCUUCCGAGCCUUAUAUUAUCUCUAGGUAUGAUGUUAGAUUUCUUACUCUUGUGUACAAUAUCUCUUCACUAAAGUGAUCCUAAACCCCUCACACCAUGACCAGGAAGGCCAUAGGCCUCCCACUCUUCAGUAAGAUCCUUCUUCAAUGGUAAGCUCCUAAGCCUCACACCAUUUUUAGGUAGGCCACAAGCUUCUCACUAUAGUGUGAUCUUUCUUCAACAUAGGAUUUUAAACCCCAUAUCAUUGAAUAUGAGACCUCGAGCCUCACUCUCUUCAAUAUAAUUUUGGAUCGAUACAGGGCUUUCAAGCCUCAUAUUAUCGCAUUGAAUGACCCUCUAGGGGUUACCCCCAAUCAUUUAUAAAAUUUCAUAAGUAUGAGUUUCUCCUUUUUGGAUUUCCUAAGAAUAUUUUGCAAGCUUCUUCUUUAGGGGUUACCAUCAACCACUUAUAAAUUUUAUAAGUGGAGGCUCAACAUCUUUAGGUUCCUAUAGCCUUUUAAAAAAAAUUAUAAGUAUAGGCUCACCCUUCUUAUGUUUUCUUAGACAUUUAAUUAUUAUUUUUUUAAGUAUGGGUUUAUUUUUAUUAGGUUCCCUCGACCUUUUAAAUAUAUUUUCUAAGUAUAGGCUUCUUUUUCAGAUGCUAGCUCAGAUUUUUAGAAAUUUUUCUAAGUAUAUGUUCAUCCUCUUUAAGUUCACACAACCUUUUAAAAUAAUUUUUUAAAUAUAGGCUCACCCUUCAUAUGUUUUCCCUAGCUAGGUGUGACAUAUCUAUCCUUCCUUAGAGUGUUAUCAUGUCUAGCUAGGGUGGUAGGCAUGCACCUAGUGUCCCUAGAGCUAAAUACGAGCCAAGCAUCCCAAUGGGCUCAAGCAUGUGCCUAAGCUCGACGUUGGCAUCACCCCGACACCCGAGCCUAACGAACAUGGACCUAGACAAUGCAUUUAGGUCCAUUUUUUGCUCCAAACGGGCUUAGGUAACUUACGUGAGCCCAACACGUUUUUUUUUUCAUAUUUUUUACUAAACCAAUAUGUUUUGGAUCCUACUCUCUUUACACCCCUGGGUGUAUAAAAACCUCUUAUAGCCUACCACAUCUUCAUCUCAUUAAUGUUUGUGUAAAAUAUAUUUAUUCAUCAUUAAUGCAUGUAUAAAGGAUAUUUAUCAUUCAUUAAUAUCAUUAGACCAAAAUUACACUUCAGCUCUCCUCUUUACAAAACAACAAGACUCAUGGUCUAUAAAUAUCUCAUAAAUCCUCUAAGUUCAAGGUGGACAAUCUUUUCAUUCUCAAUAUUUUUAGCACAUAUAUUUUUAGAGCAUAUCUUUCUAAAAUGUAUUUGUAUUUUCUCUCUUAAUAAGUUAUUCACUUAAGUAAGCAUCUAAGAGUCCUUACAUUUAUCAAAGAGGAUCUUUUUACAAAUACUAAUUAUAAAUCAUCUUAGCUUACCAGGUGUACUACUAGCAACCUAAACUUUGUAUAUUAAACCAUCAUAGAUUUAACUAUAAAAAUUAAAUCAAAUUAUUAUAACUAAAAAAUUAACUAAUUAUCUAAAAUAUAAAUUUUAUCGGUAAGUUACUUGGACAUUCUUUACUACUUCGUCCAUAACCUAAAAUUUUUAGAAGCUACUUUUCAUCUUCAUUUUUAAUUAUUUGUCAUCAUCCGAUUUCAAGGUAUAAUUAAUUAACGAUAAAUUAUAGAAUAGAUUUAUCUUAUCAAGAAUGGGAGGAACCUCGAAGCAGCUGCUGUUCGCUGAUUGUGCUAGAGUUUGUUUUGCUAGGCCUUAAGCAUUCUUGGCAUUUACGUUGUAUAUUUUACCUAUUUGUUUUGUAAUUAUAAAUUUAUAUAGAAUUUAUUAAAUGGAAAUAAUCUACCCAUAAUUUAUCUUUAUUAACUAAGGACAUGGCUGGUAUUCCUCCAAAGAAGACCAGAAUAAAAGACUAGUCAACGAAUACAUCAUGGCCCAGAAGGUUCUCGAUGAAAAGUAGGCCACUUGGACUGGACGUUUCCAACUUUUCAGCAUCGUCUUCUCUCCCUAUAUACUCCACCGAGCGAUAGCAAAUAUCAGUAUCAAACCACAACAUCAAAAGAAUGGGAGAGGUCAACAAUCAAAAACAGCAUAUUGUUUUGAUCCAUGGUUCAGUUGCAGGAGCCUGGAUAUGGUACAAGGUCAAGCCAAGGCUAGAGGAAGCUGGCCACCGUGUCACAGCUCUUGACAUGGCUGCAUCAGGUGUGAACACACAAAAAAUUGAAGAAGUUCGCACUUUUGAUCAGUAUAAUGAGCCCUUGAUGGAGUUCAUGGCCAAAUUACCUGAAAAUGAAAAGGUUGUAUUGGUGGGGCACAGUUUAGGUGGCUUGAAUCUGGCUUUUGCUAUGGAGAAAUUCCCAGAGAAGGUUUCUCUUGCUGUUUUUCUUACUGCAAUCUUGCCUGAUACCGUGCACCAGCCAUCUUAUAUGUUAGAAAAGGUACCUCUCUGUUAUUAUUAUUAUUAUUAUUAUUACGACCCCUUUUUCCCUUUCUAAUUAAGAUGGUCAUGCACGAAAAUGGGUUGAUCUAUUUUGGUUGGUUUCUCCAUUCCAGUAAAUGCUAUGAAUAACCCGAGGUUUGACGAAAUCUGAUUUUGAAAAUAGAAUAAUUUUUAAGGUCUUGAGACUUUUUUUUCAUCAAAGUAUUUCUUAGUUCACUGAUGAUAUCAAUUCGAACAGUAUCAAAUCUUAUGGAAUCACAACCCUCACAUUAGUUAUUGAAGAGUGUGAGGGAGAUCGGCCUCUUGUAUAUAUGAUCUAAUGAAAGAUCCAAAAGGCUAAAAGUGAUGAUUGGUUGUCGAAAUGCUUGAUUAGCUUCAAUCUCUUGCUUAAUUCAAGAUGGGUUUUAAUGCACACACAUGCAAAUGUAAAAGUCAUUAUCAAUCAUGUUCUAACAUCAAAAUGAUAUUUUGGCCUCCUUGUUAGUUUGCUGAAAUCGGUCCCAGGGACGAAGAGUGGCAAGACACUCUCUUUUCAUUCCAUGGAACCCCUGAAGAACCGCAUACAUGUGUUCACAUGGGAUUCGAGUUUAUGAAGUGCAAGCCCUUUCAUCUUUCCUCCGCUGAGGUACACAAAUCUUUCUUAAAAAUUAUGAAUCUUGUACUAGUUUUCAUUGUAAUAACCAGUUAUGAUACUGUUCUUGUUCGCAGGAUCUCGCUCUGCAGAUGCUCUUAAAUAGACCAGGAUCGAUGUUUGUGGAAAGCCUGUCCAAGGCGAAGAAGUUCACUGAUGAGAGAUAUGGAUCAGUGCCGCGAGUUUAUAUUGUUUGUACUGAGGAUUUAAUGAUGCUUGCCUCAUUUCAGCGGUGGAUGGUUGAGCAAAAUGGGGUAAAGGAAGUGGUGGAGAUUCCUGCAGAUCAUAUGCCAGUUUUUUCGACGCCUACAGAACUCUGCCAUUCUAUACUGGAGUUGGCCCGCAAGCAUGCUUAGAUUGC